This is a long non-coding RNA of Parambassis ranga (Indian glassy fish), 720 nucleotides long. NCBI's taxonomy places the organism in Eukaryota, Metazoa, Chordata, Actinopteri, Ambassidae. The record is from Ensembl.
AAAGAACAAGCAGGGAUGUAAUGAACAUGAUGGAAGUGAUGUUUGUUUGCUUUUUAUGUAGACAAACUGGUGAAGCAGAGAUCUACUGGAUCCUCGUCCAAGUCUGUUCCUCUCACCUGGGUGGAUGUUCUGUCACUGCCUCUUCCUACCAACAAAGAUGGAGGUCACACAAAACGGGACAAAGAAGAGGAGCAGCACAGCUCUGAGGAGGAUGAUGACUGGUGUCCUCCGCUGCCAGCCAGGACCUACCUGAUGGAUGCCUCCAGAGAGGAGCUCACUAGCCUGCCCUCUAAACCUGAGGAGCCGUCCUGCACGGCCACAUCAAAGUCUUCCCCCCAGCAAGACACGCCUAGGCCUCACGACAGUCCACGGCUGCAGCAUUUUGACUUCCUGGCUCGUCACCACUCCAGCUCCCACAUCUCCCAGUCCAACCCCAAUCUGUUCACCAACACCAGCCCCCGAGAUGCAAGUCAGCUUUACCACACUAACCAAUGGGCCGAAGGCUUCAAGGCAGAAAGCCUUGGUAAAGGACAAUCUCCUGCUGCAGCUGCAGAAUCGAGCCCUGCAGCCCAAACACACAGAUCCAGGAGUAAGAAGAGAACGCCCAAAGAUGGACUCAACAGACCUGAUCUGCACAGCGAAGCAGGUAGCACGUUAAAACUGUGCAUCACAUUUGAACCAUAACAGUACGUUUUACACAGCAACAGUCUGUUCUUCAUA